CGCUUUUUUCCUUUUGUUUUUCCUUUUUUUUUUUUUUCUUUUUCUUUUUUCCCAGAGCUAUUUAUCAUUUUAAUGGAACGCCGCGGAAUAUUACAUUGCGCCAUGUGUUUAAAUUGAUAAAUUGUAUUAGGAAAACAUCGGAUGGGAUUUUUAAUGAAAGGAGGAAGAGGAUGGAGGGCACUGCAGGAGAGGACUCAAGCUGAGCAGAUGAAACUGGGAAUGAAGGUAGGAGAAAUAAAGACUUGUUGUAGAGCGGAUGGGCGUGGGCAAAAUUUCACCCAUAUCCAUUGGAUGGGGGGAAAAUUGAUUUAUUUAUAUUGUUUGGUUGCACAGAGCUGGC
RNAcentral lists this long non-coding RNA (340 nucleotides) under Phasianus colchicus (ring-necked pheasant). Its description in RNAcentral is "lncRNA (ENSPCLG00000003586.1)". Lineage: Eukaryota; Metazoa; Chordata; Aves; Galliformes; Phasianidae. The record is from RNAcentral.